AAGAGUUGCAAAACUCCCAAACCAUUGUGAACAUACCUUCAACGUUGCUUCGGCGGGUUGGCCCCGGUCUCCGGGGUCCCCGGCCCUACUCGGGCGCCCGCCGGAGGACCAACCAAAACUCUUAUUGUAUACCCCCUCGCGGGUUUUUUACUAUCUGAGCCAUCUCGGCGCCCCUUGCGGGCGUUUCGAAAAUGAAUCA
This 199-nucleotide unclassified non-coding RNA is filed under the name uncultured Humicola. RNAcentral describes it as "sequence contains ITS1". The record is from RNAcentral. Lineage: Eukaryota; Fungi; Ascomycota.